CAAAAACAUGUCUUUUUGAUUAUAAUUUAAAGUCUAACCUGCCCAAUGAGGAGUUAAAUGGCCGCGGUAUUUUGACCGUGCAAAGGUAGCAUAAUCAUUAGUUUUUUAAUUGAAAGCUGGUAUGAAUGGUUGGACGAGAAAAUAACUGUCUCGAUUUAAGUUAAAUUAGAAUUUUAUUUAUGAGUAAAAAAGCUCAUAUAAGUUUAAAAGACGAGAAGACCCUAUAGAAUUUAAUAUAUAUACAUAUAUAUUAUUUUUAGAAUUAAUAAUAAAUUAUAUGUUAUUAUAUUUUGUUGGGGUGAUAGAAAAAUUUAAAUAACUUUUUUUAUAUAAAAACAUUAAUGUAUGAAAAAAUGAUCCGUUAAUUACGAUUAUAAGAUUAAAUUACCUUAGGGAUAACAGCGUAAUUUUUUUUUAGAGUUCUUAUCGAAAAAAGAGUUUGCGACCUCGAUGUUGGAUUAAAAUUAACUUUUGGUGUAGGGGCU
Molecule: ribosomal RNA, 485 nt
Filed under: Xylotrupes lorquini
Lineage: Eukaryota; Metazoa; Arthropoda; Insecta; Coleoptera; Scarabaeidae
Description: partial large subunit ribosomal RNA
Rfam family: Bacterial large subunit ribosomal RNA
Source: RNAcentral